RNAcentral lists this ribosomal RNA (483 nucleotides) under uncultured bacterium. RNAcentral describes it as "partial 16S ribosomal RNA". It matches the Rfam family "Bacterial small subunit ribosomal RNA", at positions 28 to 507 of the family's 1533-position model. The record is from RNAcentral.
GACGAACGCUGGCGGCGUGCUUAACACAUGCAAGUCGAACGCUGAAGCUCAGCUUUUGUUGGGUGGAUGAGUGGCGAACGGGUGAGUAACACGUGAGUAACCUGCCCCCUUCUUUGGGAUAACGCCCGGAAACGGGUGCUAAUACUGGAUAUUCACUGGUCUUCGCAUGGGGGUUGGUGGAAAGGGUUUUUCUGGUGGGGGAUGGGCUCGCGGCCUAUCAGCUUGUUGGUGGGGUGAUGGCCUACCAAGGCUUUGACGGGUAGCCGGCCUGAGAGGGUGACCGGUCACAUUGGGACUGAGAUACGGCCCAGACUCCUACGGGAGGCAGCAGUGGGGAAUAUUGCACAAUGGGCGCAAGCCUGAUGCAGCGACGCCGCGUGAAGGAUGGAGGCCUUCGGGUUGUGAACCUCUUUCGCUCAUGGUCAAGCCGCAACAAUGGUUGUGGUGAGGGUAGUGGGUAAAGAAGCGCCGGCUAACUACGUG